CCGGCACCGGUUCCCGUGCACCCACACGACCCGGCGGCC
Molecule: non-coding RNA, 39 nt
Filed under: unclassified sequences
Description: L31-Actinobacteria ribosomal protein leader
Rfam family: L31-Actinobacteria ribosomal protein leader
Source: RNAcentral